This is a long non-coding RNA of Herpailurus yagouaroundi (jaguarundi), 726 nucleotides long. RefSeq lists it as uncharacterized. The transcript is spliced from 3 exons. NCBI's taxonomy places the organism in Eukaryota, Metazoa, Chordata, Mammalia, Carnivora, Felidae. The record is from RefSeq and is a predicted model, not a curated record.
UACUUCUGCUGAAUCUCAUGAAGCUACUUUGGGUGUAUGUUCAUGAGGAAACCACACCCCCAAGAACUCAACUAAAGGAAUGAGAAAAAGACAAGGAAACCAGAAAGAAUGUGCUUCUCCAAAAUGAGGGAGUAAACCAAAAAAGAGAAAGACAUGGAAUCCAGUACACAAGAACCUCCCUUAGGAGAGGAAGACAUGAAGUACAGUAGACAAGACAUCCUUCAAAAACGGAAGACAUGGAAUCCAGUAGACAAGACCAGACCUCUAUCACGAGGGAAGACAGAGCCCUGUAUUUCCUUGGGAAACUACCCCACCCCACUUUUAGUACUCAUUGUUUGGGUGCACCUGACCACGCCCCAAGUUCAAGAAAUGAUCACAUGCUAUUGGCUUGCACUGAUCAACAUAAGUACCACCAUAUGUAGCAAUAAGUCUGGCUACGGUGAUUGGCGCAAGGAUGAAAGAAGGAAUCAAGUUAACCCAAACAGCAUAUAUCCCAGAACCUUUGGGAGAGUUUAUAGCAAAAGAAGUGUUUUCCAUCUUGGGACUGUGAAGACAUAAGCCUGAAACUCCUGGGAACAGAUGGGGCACACCUGACCCAAUGAACAGAACAAGGAGAUGGAGCAAGACAGCUUCCUAAAACCUAUUCCGAGUAUCAGAAUUCAGCCAUGCUAGAUGUUACAUCUACUCAUGGAUUUUAAAUUUACAAGAGGUAAUAAUUCCCACUCC